GCCCAGAUAUCCCCAUUGCCUUUAUCUAAUAUUGCUUUUCAGUGAGUGAUGUCUAACUUGAAUAUGGAGGCCUAGUGCACUGGUUCAAGAAGAGUCCAGUAAAAAGUAUAAACACACAUCAAGCCUUAGACUGUCCUUUGGGCUGCAUACUCAUGCCUACACUUCAGAAGCUUCCAGAGUUUUUCAGUUUUCAUUAUCUUUACAUCUCUGAUUAGGGACUUGUGGUUCUACAAAGCACGGAGUGCUUCUGUCUGCAUACCAAGAGCCCUCAGCUCCUCCUGAUUUCAAACACUCGGGGGAGGUUAGGAUUGCUUUGUUUGCCCUGCCAAAGAGUACAUGCUGUAACAAGUGAAUGUGGGCAUAAGUGGUGUGCCACAAACUUCACUCCGUGCCACUUAAGGAAGGACGGGGAGAACUGGAUAUCCGCCAGCCCGUAUAAAGAAUUCUCCAUAUUCCCUAGCCAGAGGUUUUAUCCAGCUGAGUUCAGUGAUAGACAUUCACCCAUCGGCAAACACAGCUGCUUCUGAAAUCGUGCUUGACUGGAAUAUAUCCCUGAGAGCAAUCUUUACAUGACAGAUUUGCCUUCAGACCCAUCACGGUUAUCACAGCUGUGCAGAGAACUCGGCUUACCCAGGAGCUCAAGCUGGCAGGGCCUGUUUUCUGAAGAUGGAG
This 672-nucleotide long non-coding RNA is filed under the name Anas platyrhynchos platyrhynchos (common mallard). Its description in RNAcentral is "lncRNA (ENSAPLG00000018297.1)". Lineage: Eukaryota; Metazoa; Chordata; Aves; Anseriformes; Anatidae. The record is from RNAcentral.